UGCAUAUCAAUAAGCGGAGGAAAAGAAACCAACAGGGAUUGCCUCAGUAACGGCGAGUGAAGCGGCAAAAGCUCAAAUUUGAAAUCUAGCACUUUCAGUGUUCGAGUUGUAAUUUGAAGAAGGUAACUUUGGUUUUGGCUCUUGUCUAUGUUCCUUGGAACAGGACGUCACAGAGGGUGAGAAUCCCGUGCGAUGAGAUGCCCAAUUCCAUGUAAAGUGCUUUCGAAGAGUCGAGUUGUUUGGGAAUGCAGCUCUAAGUGGGUGGUAAAUUCCAUCUAAAGCUAAAUAUUGGCGAGAGACCGAUAGCGAACAAGUACAGUGAUGGAAAGAUGAAAAGAACUUUGAAAAGAGAGUGAAAAAGUACGUGAAAUUGUUGAAAGGGAAGGGCUUGAGAUCAGACUUGGUAUUUUGCGUUCCCUUCCUUUUUGGUUGGGUUCCUCGCAGUUUACUGGGCCAGCAUCGGUUUGGAUGGUAGGAUAAUGACAUUGGAAUGUAGCUUUACUUCGGUGAAGUGUUAUAGACUUUGUUGAUACUGCCUAUCUAGACCGAGGACUGCGUCUUUGACUAGGAUGCUGGCGUAAUGAUCUUAAGCCGCCCGUCUUGAAACACGGACCA
RNAcentral lists this ribosomal RNA (615 nucleotides) under Dujonia zeylanoides. RNAcentral describes it as "eukaryotic LSU rRNA". It matches the Rfam family "Eukaryotic large subunit ribosomal RNA", at positions 37 to 668 of the family's 3401-position model. The record is from RNAcentral. Lineage: Eukaryota; Fungi; Ascomycota; Pichiomycetes; Serinales; Debaryomycetaceae.